Quercus lobata is the source of this 267-nucleotide long non-coding RNA. RefSeq lists it as uncharacterized. The record is from RefSeq and is a predicted model, not a curated record. The transcript is spliced from 2 exons. Lineage: Eukaryota; Viridiplantae; Streptophyta; Magnoliopsida; Fagales; Fagaceae.
AAAAUUGGCAAAGAGGCCAGAAAAUGCUGGAAAACUUAUUGCUGUUAUCUUUCCCAACUUUGGAGAGCGUUAUCUGUCUACUGCACUCUUUGAUUCCAUUAGGCAUGAGGCAGAAAAUAUGACUUAUGACUGAUUGUUUCUGAAUAUCAGAAACUGCUUUAUGUAUGUUGUGCAAUCUACAUAUUUGAAAUAAUGAGAACUUCCUAUGGUCUGUUUGCUGUAUGAUCAACAGCUUGACUAAUAAAAGUUUGAUAGAUUGACUUGAUA